AUUCCAGGAACAUGAAGAUAAUGGGCGAGGCAGCCAGUUGGGGGCAAAGAAGGUGUUAAACAGUCAGCCCUGGGCAUGGAUGUCCCCCCUCCUACUGAAGUCCUACAUUCAUGUCUUUCUGGGCCUGGAACUAGAGUUUCAACGACUGCCAACUCCUCCUUCCAGGGGUGAUACGUAUCAAGAGGUUAGAGGGCCGCCCUGGUAUGAUAGGCUUUUCCACAAGCAGCUCCCCUUUGAAGAAAACGGAAGCUUUUCUUGUGUGCAGGGAAGUAUUCCUGGCCCUGUGAAAGUGAACUCAUUCAUCACAAGUCAACCUCGAAGGGUGUCUGGGGAGCAGAAAUCAAGGAGCCAAACAAAAAAGCAAGUGAGGGAGAGAAGAUUUCGAAUGCAAAUCAACCUCCUCAACCCAUUUGAAACAACCUGCUGUGAACUGGGCUAG
This 439-nucleotide long non-coding RNA is filed under the name Papio anubis (olive baboon). RNAcentral describes it as "lncRNA (ENSPANG00000042306.1)". Lineage: Eukaryota; Metazoa; Chordata; Mammalia; Primates; Cercopithecidae. The record is from RNAcentral.